Small nuclear RNA from Capra hircus (goat), 107 nucleotides. The record is from Ensembl. NCBI's taxonomy places the organism in Eukaryota, Metazoa, Chordata, Mammalia, Artiodactyla, Bovidae.
GUGCUCACUUUGGCAGCACAUAUAAUAAAACUGGAACGAUACAGAGAAGAUUAGCAUCGCCCCUGUGCAAGGAUGGCACACAAAUUCAUGAAGCGUUUCAUAUUUUU